UACGUAGGGUGCAAGCGUUGUCCGGAAUUAUUGGGCGUAAAGAGCUCGUAGGCGGUCUGUCGCGUCUGCUGUGAAAAUCCAGGGCUCAACCCUGGACCUGCAGUGGGUACGGGCAGACUAGAGUGCGGUAGGGGAGAUCGGAAUUCCUGGUGUAGCGGUGAAAUGCGCGGAUAUCAGGAGGAACACCGGUGGCGAAGGCGGAUCUCUGGGCCGUAACUGACGCUGAGGAGCGAAAGCAUGGGGAGCGAACAGG
This 253-nucleotide ribosomal RNA is filed under the name uncultured bacterium. Its description in RNAcentral is "partial 16S ribosomal RNA". It matches the Rfam family "Bacterial small subunit ribosomal RNA", at positions 524 to 776 of the family's 1533-position model. The record is from RNAcentral.